Molecule: ribosomal RNA, 450 nt
Filed under: uncultured organism
Description: partial 16S ribosomal RNA
Rfam family: Bacterial small subunit ribosomal RNA
Source: RNAcentral
ACUCCUGCGGGAGGCAGCAGUGGGGAAUAUUGGACAAUGGGCGCAAGCCUGAUCCAGCCAUGCCGCGUGAGUGAUGAAGGCCCUAGGGUUGUAAAGCUCUUUCACCGGUGAAGAUAAUGACGGUAACCGGAGAAGAAGCCCCGGCUAACUUCGUGCCAGCAGCCGCGGUAAUACGAAGGGGGCUAGCGUUGUUCGGAUUUACUGGGCGUAAAGCGCACGUAGGCGGACUAUUAAGUCAGGGGUGAAAUCCCGGGGCUCAACCCCGGAACUGCCUUUGAUACUGGUAGUCUUGAGUUCGAGAGAGGUGAGUGGAAUUCCGAGUGUAGAGGUGAAAUUCGUAGAUAUUCGGAGGAACACCAGUGGCGAAGGCGGCUCACUGGCUCGAUACUGACGCUGAGGUGCGAAAGCGUGGGGAGCAAACAGGAUUAGAUACCCGAGUAGUCCCAUGAU